AUUGAACGCUGGCGGAAUGCUUUACACAUGCAAGUCGAACGGCAGCACGGACUUCGGUCUGGUGGCGAGUGGCGAACGGGUGAGUAACAUAUCGGAACGUAUCCAAUAAUGGGGGAUAACUAAUCGAAAGGUUGGCUAAUACCGCAUACGCCCUACGGGGGAAAGCAGGGGACCUUCGGACCUUGCGUUAAUGGAGCGGCUGAUAUCUGAUUAGCUAGUUGGUGAGGUAAAGGCUCACCAAGGCGACGAUCAGUAGCUGGUCUGAGAGGACGACCAGCCACACUGGAACUGAGACACGGUCCAGACUCCUACGGGAGGCAGCAGUGGGGAAUUUUGGACAAUGGGCGCAAGCCUGAUCCCGCCAUUCCGCGUGAGUGAAGAAGGCCUUCGGGUUGUAAAGCUCUUUCGCAAGGGAAGAAAACUUACUUUCUAAUAAAGAGUGAGGUUGACGGUACCUUGAUAAGAAGCACCGGCUAACUACGUGCCAGCCGCCGCGGUAA
Molecule: ribosomal RNA, 500 nt
Filed under: uncultured bacterium
Lineage: Bacteria
Description: partial 16S ribosomal RNA
Rfam family: Bacterial small subunit ribosomal RNA
Source: RNAcentral